RNAcentral lists this unclassified non-coding RNA (314 nucleotides) under uncultured fungus. Its description in RNAcentral is "partial contains small subunit ribosomal RNA, internal transcribed spacer 1, and 5.8S ribosomal RNA". The stretch from base 1 to 73 matches the Rfam family "Eukaryotic small subunit ribosomal RNA", at positions 1759 to 1831 of the family's 1831-position model. The record is from RNAcentral. Lineage: Eukaryota; Fungi.
CCAAACUUGGUCAUUUAGAGGAAGUAAAAGUCGUAACAAGGUUUCCGUAGGUGAACCUGCGGAAGGAUCAUUAAAGAAAAUAUUCCAGAGCGGGAUGGGCCCCGCCUUUGGGCAGGGCGCUCCUGUAUCUCGAGCCCUGUGCAAGACCGCUUUACAGUUUGCUUUGGCGCGCCGGCUCUUCUGGGCCGGACGCCAGGCGCUAUUUUAAAAUUCACUACCCUUUUUUAACCAGUGGUGUCGGAGCUAUUUCUAUAAUGGAAUUUAAAACUUUCAACAACGGAUCUCUUGGUUCUCGCAUCGAUGAAGAACGCAGC